Molecule: long non-coding RNA, 1868 nt
Filed under: Olea europaea subsp. europaea
Lineage: Eukaryota; Viridiplantae; Streptophyta; Magnoliopsida; Lamiales; Oleaceae
Source: RNAcentral
AUACUCAUUCAUUGUCAUCUAAGGUUGUUGCGUGAUAUGCUAUCUAUGAUUUUCUAAGUCAAAACCUGAAUACGUGGGAUUUUUUUUCUGCAGUUAGUGUUAAUGAAGUGAAGUUUAAACAUUAGCAAUUCUGUAACUGACGAUGGGUUAAUAAAUAAGGUAAUUUGCUUUCAACAUUUAUGAAAUCAUCCUUUGUACUUUAAAUAUAUCGUGAUUACACACAUCCUCUGGUUUUUUCACCUUGUUUCGUAUUUGACUCUUUAUCAUUAUGGAGUUUGAGUAAUCAUUUUAUUUUAUUUAGUAAAAAUAAUUGACAACAACUUUGCAAAGUGUAAAGACAAGGAUGAUCGAAAUCUGUUUUAUAAAUAACAUCAUCAUAUUCAAUAUUUUUAGUAUAGAACUUUCUUCCACUCUGAAAAUCAUAACAGCUAUGCAUUGUUUGUGGUUAAAACUCAUAACUUUUUGUAAUUUCCAAGUCUUCUUAAUUAUAAUUUCCAAGUCUUCUGGUUGCAUUGAUUUUUGUUGAUUAUCUGAUGCCAAAACUAGAUUUCCCGACAGUUCAUCUAUCGAUAGUUGUUGCUCAACUGUCGUUCCCGACAGUUAGCCUCAGUAAUUCUCGACAGAUAAAAAUGUCGGGAUCGACAGUUCAGUUCCUGCUUGCCUAGCCCUGCCUACCAGUAGAAAAUGAUAUUUCUAUGUAAUAUGCGUUCAGAUAUGAGUAUUCAUUUUAUUUUUUGCAUGCAACAAUUUCUGAAGUUCAGUGGACUGAAUUAGGGCUAUUUUAUUGAAGUAAUAUGGUUGGCACUCAUAUGCAUUUGGUGGAAAUCAUGUUUGAUGUGGGCAUAUCUUCCGUUUCAAUAUUUCUGUUACUUGUGUCAUAACCUUGCUUUCACUUGCACACAUUGAGCUUGUGGGCGGCACUCGUUGCAUUUGGGAGGAACUGUUGAAAGACACUUCACAACAUACUUGUGAUUUUUGGUCCUAUGCUGGUAGGAAGUUUAUAUUGUAGUGUGACGCAUUUAUUUCCUAUUUUGUUUCUGUAGACAUGGAUUUGAGCCUCUUGUUCCAGAGAAUGCACGCUUGCGGGGCCACGUAUCGCAGAGAAGCAAUCUGCGAUAUAUAAAAACAGUUGUCGAAUAUUUUGACGAGCGACAGCGGGCAGACUUUCGCAACUCAUGCCUUGGGUUCUUGUCCGAGGUUCCGGAUCUCCAAUUCUCUGCCCAAUUAAUCCAACAACUCGUAUUCUGCUGCAUACAAACAAAUAAGCGGCACGAACUGUGGUUUAAUUUGCAAGGCCACCUCGUCAGGUUCGGAAUUCAAGAAUAUGCCCUGGUCACAGGAUUAAGGUAUGGUCUUCUCCCGGAUGACAAUGUCGUGGACCGAGUUCUUGACAAGAGGAGACUAAAGGACAAAUACUUUAAACAUGUUGACAAGAUUUUAUGGUAUGGAUGAAUUUGGUCACGUUCUCUGGAUACGUGCAGAAACUGCAUCUCCAUAAUAGGCAAUCGCAGUAGUGUAGGUUUUCAAGCCGCUGUUGUUACCAACUGCCGAGAAUUACAGAGACUAUCUGUCGGAAACGACAUAUGAACUGUCGAGACGUAAUGUUGGUGUUUUGUUUGUUCACUAUGGUCUCAUGAAAAUCAAUUUUUCAUUUCGACAAACUGUCAGUCGAAGCUAAUGAAACUUCUAUGAUCGGCUAAGUUUAUAUUAAGAAAAAGGUAUUCAUCUCGUUUGUGAUAAUGGAACUGUAAUGAUCGGUACUUUGCUUGUGGAACAUAACGACCAAAUUUGAUUUGACGUACGAUAAUAAUAACAGAUUCAUAAAAUAAGUUGGGAAUGUACAAUGCUUAUUUAAAUUAAGUUUUUCG